This 24-nucleotide non-coding RNA is filed under the name Arabidopsis thaliana (thale cress). The record is from RNAcentral. Lineage: Eukaryota; Viridiplantae; Streptophyta; Magnoliopsida; Brassicales; Brassicaceae.
UUCGUUAGUGGACAAAGUCUUUGU